GGGGGCGAUCGGUUUCGACGUGGGGACUGAAGAUCAAUCUGCGUGCACUGGCUCCCGGCCCAGUCAAAACCCGGGACGUAUUAGUUGCGAACGACAACGCAAUCGAAGCUCUCGCGGCCUAAUAACCCGUGAUAGCCGUCCAACCGCAAGAUCGUCCUGGUAGCGGAAGGGCGCCAACCACUAGGGCUGGGUUGCCUGAGGGUGCUUUCGAUAGGGCGACCGAGAAAAAGGCGAAGGCUAGGGCGUGGCCGAAUCCACGAAGCCCCGUCACAGGGUCAAUUGUGACUACGCACGUGAACGAAGGUUGAUUGGACGCCUUGCGGACCCGGGUUCGAUUCCCGGCGCCUCCACUU
This 353-nucleotide transfer-messenger RNA is filed under the name Polyangiaceae. RNAcentral describes it as "JACKEA01 sp020633235 Standard tmRNA". It matches the Rfam family "transfer-messenger RNA". Rfam says of the family: Bacterial tmRNA, also known as 10Sa RNA or SsrA, is named for its dual tRNA and mRNA-like properties. The record is from RNAcentral. RNAcentral also lists the same sequence under 2 other names. Lineage: Bacteria; Pseudomonadati; Myxococcota; Polyangiales.